Molecule: ribosomal RNA, 253 nt
Filed under: uncultured bacterium
Lineage: Bacteria
Description: partial 16S ribosomal RNA
Rfam family: Bacterial small subunit ribosomal RNA
Source: RNAcentral
UACGAAGGGGGCUAGCGUUGCUCGGAAUUACUGGGCGUAAAGGGCGCGUAGGCGGCACUGUUAGUCAGGCGUGAAAUUCCUGGGCUCAACCUGGGGGACUGCGCUUGAUACGGCAGAGCUAGAGGAUGGAAGAGGCUCGCGGAAUUCCCAGUGUAGAGGUGAAAUUCGUAGAUAUUCGGAAGAACACCAGUGGCGAAGGCGGCUCACUGGCCCGGUACUGACGCUGAGGUGCGAAAGCGUGGGGAGCAACAGG